AUUGAACGCUGGCGGCAGGCCUAACACAUGCAAGUCGAACGAGAGGCGGACGGGUGAGCAAUGUCUGGAAAACUGCCUGACGGAGGGGGAUAACUACGGGAAAAGGUAGCUAAUACCGCAUACCACGAGAUGUGCCCAGAUGGGAUUAGCUUGUUGGUGGGGUAACGGCUCAUCAAGGCGACGAUCCCUAGCUGGUCUGAGAGGAUGACCAGCCACACUGGGACUGAGACACGGUCCAGACUCCUACGGGAGGCAGCAGUAGGGAAUAUUGGACAAUGGGCGCAAGCCUGAUGGAGCAAUGCCGCGUGUAUGAAGAAGGCCUUCGGGUUGUAAAGUACUUUCAGCGGGGAGGCGUUACCCACAGAAGAAGCACCGGCUAACUCCGUGCCAGCAGCCGCGGUAAUAC
This 406-nucleotide ribosomal RNA is filed under the name uncultured bacterium. Its description in RNAcentral is "partial 16S ribosomal RNA". It matches the Rfam family "Bacterial small subunit ribosomal RNA", at positions 30 to 526 of the family's 1533-position model. The record is from RNAcentral.